CUCUUGGUGAAAAGGCAGAGAUAAAACCAGACAAAGUUCAUAAUCUACUUGGAAGAGCUGGACAAGACUUCUCUGAAUCUUAAGAUAUCAGUGGAACAAGAUAUUGAAAUAGAGAACCUGAAACCAGCCACAGUGCAUGUCUAUGACUACUAUAAACCAGAUGACCGUAUAGCAAGAGAAUACAAUUCCCCUUGCAGUUCAGAUGUUUAGAUCAAAGAUUCUGAAAAGAACACCAUGGUUCUGGAACCAGUAAUCUGAGUUUCCUGCUUUCAUAAGGAAAACACCAUUACUCUGGCUCUCCUGCUGUACACACUUUUUCUCUGUUGGAUGCACCCUCUUUCAUUUGAUGCCCUUAUUUUCUGUGUGAAACCUGAAUUGAUAUGCAGUAGUUUGAGUUCAAGUGAAAUAAACUAUGUGAAACCUGAAAAGAA
Non-coding RNA from Meleagris gallopavo (turkey), 431 nucleotides. The record is from RefSeq and is a predicted model, not a curated record. Lineage: Eukaryota; Metazoa; Chordata; Aves; Galliformes; Phasianidae.